UGCCAGCCGCCGCGGUAAUACAGAGGGUGCGAGCGUUAAUCGGAAUUACUGGGCGUAAAGGGCGCGUAGGCGGAUUGGCAAGUCGGGUGUGAAAGCCCAGGGCUUAACCCUGGAAUUGCAUCCGAAACUGCUUGUCUAGAGUGCAGUAGAGGGAAGUGGAAUUUCCGGUGUAGCGGUGAAAUGCGUAGAUAUCGGAAGGAACAUCAGUGGCGAAGGCGACUUCCUGGACUGACACUGACGCUGAGGCGCGAAAGCGUGGGUAGCGAACAGGAUUAGAUA
RNAcentral lists this ribosomal RNA (279 nucleotides) under uncultured bacterium. Its description in RNAcentral is "partial 16S ribosomal RNA". It matches the Rfam family "Bacterial small subunit ribosomal RNA", at positions 506 to 784 of the family's 1533-position model. The record is from RNAcentral.